Molecule: ribosomal RNA, 404 nt
Filed under: Merizocera sp. 46 FL-2018
Lineage: Eukaryota; Metazoa; Arthropoda; Arachnida; Araneae; Ochyroceratidae
Description: partial 16S ribosomal RNA
Rfam family: Bacterial large subunit ribosomal RNA
Source: RNAcentral
CCUGCUCAAUGCCUAAGUAAAUAGCCGCAAAUUCUGUGCAAAGGUAGCAUAAUCACUUGUCUUUUAAUUUAAGAAUAGAAUGAAGGGAAUAACGAAUUACUAACUUUUUUAUUACUUUAAAAUAAAAUUUAUUUAGAUGUAAAAACCCCUCUAUUUAAAGAAAAGACGACAAGACCCUUUAGAACUUAACUAAAGUUAAGCUGGGAAGGCUAAAAAAUAAAAACUUAUAUUAAAUAUAAAAAAUCCUAAUAUAAUUAUUAAACAAGUUACCUAAGGGAUAACAGCACAAUAAAAUACCAAAGAUCAAAUAAAAUAUUUAAAUUGUGACCUCGAUGUUGAAUUACUAAACCUUAAAUAAGUAAAAAUAUUUAAAGUAAGUCUGUUCGACUUAUAAUUUAGUACAU